This 1003-nucleotide ribosomal RNA is filed under the name uncultured bacterium. RNAcentral's name for it is "bacterial SSU rRNA". It matches the Rfam family "Bacterial small subunit ribosomal RNA", at positions 355 to 1375 of the family's 1533-position model. The record is from RNAcentral.
UGGGGAAUAUUGCACAAUGGGGGAAACCCUGAUGCAGCGACGCCGCGUGGAGGAAGAAGGUCUUCGGAUUGUAAACUCCUGUUGUUGAGGAAGAUAAUGACGGUACUCAACAAGGAAGUGACGGCUAACUACGUGCCAGCAGCCGCGGUAAAACGUAGGUCACAAGCGUUGUCCGGAAUUACUGGGUGUAAAGGGAGCGCAGGCGGACCGGCAAGUUGGAAGUGAAAACUAUGGGCUCAACCCAUAAAUUGCUUUCAAAACUGCUGGCCUUGAGUAGUGCAGAGGUAGGUGGAAUUCCCGGUGUAGCGGUGGAAUGCGUAGAUAUCGGGAGGAACACCAGUGGCGAAGGCGACCUACUGGGCACCAACUGACGCUGAGGCUCGAAAGCAUGGGUAGCAAACAGGAUUAGAUACCCUGGUAGUCCAUGCCGUAAACGAUGAUUACUAGGUGUUGGAGGAUUGACCCCUUCAGUGCCGCAGUUAACACAAUAAGUAAUCCACCUGGGGAGUACGACCGCAAGGUUGAAACUCAAAGGAAUUGACGGGGGCCCGCACAAGCAGCGGAGCAUGUUGUUUAAUUCGAAGCAACGCGAAGAACCUUACCAUGUCUUGACAUCGAGGAAAAGUUUCAGAGAUGAAAUGUGCCUUCGGGCAUCCGAAGACAGGUGGUGCAUGGUUGUCGUCAGCUCGUGUCGUGAGAUGUUGGGUUAAGUCCCGCAACGAGCGCAACCCUUAUGGUCAGUUACUAACGGGUAAAGCCGAGGACUCUGACAAGACUGCCGGGGACAACUCGGAGGAAGGUGGGGACGACGUCAAAUCAUCAUGCCCUUUAUGACUUGGGCUACACACGUACUACAAUGGCGUUAAACAAAGAGAAGCAAGACCGCGAGGUGGAGCAAAACUCAGAAACAACGUCCCAGUUCGGACUGCAGGCUGCAACUCGCCUGCACGAAGUCGGAAUUGCUAGUAAUCGUGGAUCAGCAUGCCACGGUGAAUACGUUCCC